GCAUGCGCACCUACGCUCAUAGUAACACCAUGACUCAGUCCCAGGACAGUCUGGUAAACCUGGAAGAAGGGUCCCAGCCCGAAACAUCAGCUUUCCUGCUCCUCUGAUGCUGCCUGGCCUGCUGCAUUCCUCCAGCACCACACUGUGUUAUCUCUGACUCCAGCAUCGGCAGUUCUUACUAUCUCUCAGUCUUGAACCCUUGCAACAGAAAGAUACGUUCGCCUGUUUUCAGGAGAUUCAUGGUGACCUGUUUGCACUUAUAAAAGGUCUUUGUCUUAUUGCUUAAAGGUCACAGUUUACAGCAAUGGAUGAGGGGAAAUACAUUGGAUAUCUUCAGAUGCUGCCAGACCUACUGAGCUUUUCCAACAACUUUGUUUUUGUUCCUGAUUUACAGCAUCUACAGUUCGUUUGGUUUUUAUACUGUAUCCUGCACUCUGUCCUGUUACCCUGAUGCACUUGUACAGUGCGGUCUGCCUGUAUACUGUGUAAAACAACACUUUUCACUGUACCUCGAUACACGUGA
Long non-coding RNA from Rhincodon typus (whale shark), 523 nucleotides. RefSeq lists it as uncharacterized. The record is from RefSeq and is a predicted model, not a curated record. NCBI's taxonomy places the organism in Eukaryota, Metazoa, Chordata, Chondrichthyes, Orectolobiformes, Rhincodontidae. The transcript has 3 exons.